Molecule: ribosomal RNA, 371 nt
Filed under: uncultured organism
Description: partial 16S ribosomal RNA
Rfam family: Bacterial small subunit ribosomal RNA
Source: RNAcentral
GUAGGGGUCCAAGCGUUAAUCGGAAUUACUGGGCGUAAAGCGUGCGCAGGGCGGUUGUGCAAGACCGAUGUGAAAUCCCCGGGCUUAACCUGGGAAUUGCAUUGGUGACUGCACGGCUAGAGUGUGUCAGAGGGGGGUAGGAUUCCACGUGUAGCAGUGAAAUGCGUAGAGAUGUGGAGGAAUACCGAUGGCGAAGGCAGCCCCCUGGGAUAACACCGACGCUCAUGCACGAAAGCGUGGGGAGCAAACAGGAUUAGAUACCCUGGUAGUCCACGCCCUAAACGAUGUCAACUAGUUGUUGGGGAUUCAUUUCCUUAGUAACGUAGCUAACGCGUGAAGUUGACCGCCUGGGGAGUACGGUCGCAAGAUUA